UACGUAGGGGGCAAGCGUUGUCCGGAUUUAUUGGGCGUAAAGUGCGUGUAGGCGGCUAGAUAGGUCCGUUGUGAAAACUCGAGGCUCAACCUCGAGACGCCGGUGGAAACCAUCUAGCUAGAGUCCGGAAGAGGAGAGUGGAAUUCCUGGUGUAGCGGUGAAAUGCGCAGAUAUCAGGAAGAACACCCGUGGCGAAGGCGGCUCUCUGGUACGUGACUGACGCUGAGACGCGAAAGCGUGGGGAGCGAACAGG
RNAcentral lists this ribosomal RNA (253 nucleotides) under uncultured bacterium. RNAcentral's name for it is "partial 16S ribosomal RNA". It matches the Rfam family "Bacterial small subunit ribosomal RNA", at positions 524 to 776 of the family's 1533-position model. The record is from RNAcentral.